Molecule: unclassified non-coding RNA, 374 nt
Filed under: uncultured fungus
Lineage: Eukaryota; Fungi
Description: partial contains small subunit ribosomal RNA, internal transcribed spacer 1, and 5.8S ribosomal RNA
Rfam family: Eukaryotic small subunit ribosomal RNA (bases 1-73)
Source: RNAcentral
UCAAACUUGGUCAUUUAGAGGAAGUAAAAGUCGUAACAAGGUUUCCGUAGGUGAACCUGCGGAAGGAUCAUUAACAAAAUAUACAUACGAUGUGCAGCAACUGCAAUCUCUGCGUCAGCAGAGGUUGCAGUUGUUGCACAGAGUCGUGCGUGCAUUACUAUUGUAAUGCAUGUGCGGAUGCAUUACUGCUGUUGCAGUCUUGCUCACGCAAGCCAUCAACAGUGUGUAUGCAUCAAAUCCUGAUCGAAUACAGCUGCCUUGCUGCGCAAGUCAUCUGUACUCGAUCAAAGCACGAUAUCAGUUGACAACAAUCGACAACCAUAUACACUUUUAACAAUGGAUCUCUAGGCUCUUGCAUCGAUGAAGAACGCAGC